GGAUGCGAUCAUACCAGCACUAAAGCACCGGAUGCCAUCAGAACUCCGAAGUUAAGCGUGCUUGGGCGAGAGUAGUACUACGAUG
RNAcentral lists this ribosomal RNA (85 nucleotides) under Oryza sativa Indica Group (long-grained rice). Lineage: Eukaryota; Viridiplantae; Streptophyta; Magnoliopsida; Poales; Poaceae. The record is from RNAcentral.